UUACACAUGCAAGUCGAGCGGAAAGGCCCUUCGGGGUACUCGAGCGGCGAACGGGUGAGUAACACGUGAGCAACCUGCCCUAGGCUUUGGGAUAACCCUCGGAAACGGGGGCUAAUACCGAAUACGACCUUCUGCCGCAUGGUGGGGGGUGGAAAGUUUUUCGGCCUGGGAUGGGCUCGCGGCCUAUCAGCUUGUUGGUGGGGUGAUGGCCUACCAAGGCGACGACGGGUAGCCGGCCUGAGAGGGCGACCGGCCACACUGGGACUGAGACACGGCCCAGACUCCUACGGGAGGCAGCAGUGGGGAAUAUUGCACAAUGGGCGGAAGCCUGAUGCAGCGACGCCGCGUGAGGGAUGACGGCCUUCGGGUUGUAAACCUCUUUCAGCAGGGACGAAGCGCAAGUGACGGUACCUGCAGAAGAAGCGCCGGCCAACUACGUGCCAGCAGCCGCGGUAAGACGUAGGGCGCGAGCGUUGUCCGGAUUUAUUGGGCGUAAAGAGCUCGUAGGCGGCUUGUCGCGUCGACCGUGAAAACUUGGGGCUCAACCCCAAGCCUGCGGUCGAUACGGGCAGGCUAGAGUUCGGUAGGGGAGACUGGAAUUCCUGGUGUAGCGGUGAAAUGCGCAGAUAUCAGGAGGAACACCGGUGGCGAAGGCGGGUCUCUGGGCCGAUACUGACGCUGAGGAGCGAAAGCGUGGGGAGCGAACAGGAUUAGAUACCCUGGUAGUCCACGCUGUAAACGUUGGGCGCUAGGUGUGGGGGGCCUCUCCGGUUCUCUGUGCCGCAGCUAACGCAUUAAGCGCCCCGCCUGGGGAGUACGGCCGCAAGGCUAAAACUCAAAGGAAUUGACUGG
RNAcentral lists this ribosomal RNA (852 nucleotides) under Micromonospora sp. 1G61. RNAcentral's name for it is "bacterial SSU rRNA". It matches the Rfam family "Bacterial small subunit ribosomal RNA", at positions 49 to 917 of the family's 1533-position model. Lineage: Bacteria; Bacillati; Actinomycetota; Actinomycetes; Micromonosporales; Micromonosporaceae. The record is from RNAcentral.